UACGUAGGGGGCGAGCGUUGUCCGGAAUCACUGGGCGUAAAGGGUGCGUAGGCGGUUGGUUAAGUCCUGUGUGAAAUCUCCCGGCUCAACCGGGAGGGGCCAUGGGAAACUGGCCAACUGGAGUGCCGGAGAGGGUCGCGGAAUUCCAGGUGUAGCGGUGGAAUGCGUAGAUAUCUGGAGGAACACCAGUGGCGAAGGCGGCGACCUGGACGGUAACUGACGCUGAGGCACGAAAGCUGGGGGAGCAAACAGG
This 253-nucleotide ribosomal RNA is filed under the name uncultured bacterium. RNAcentral's name for it is "partial 16S ribosomal RNA". It matches the Rfam family "Bacterial small subunit ribosomal RNA", at positions 524 to 776 of the family's 1533-position model. The record is from RNAcentral.